Long non-coding RNA from Camelus dromedarius (Arabian camel), 347 nucleotides. RefSeq lists it as uncharacterized. Lineage: Eukaryota; Metazoa; Chordata; Mammalia; Artiodactyla; Camelidae. The record is from RefSeq and is a predicted model, not a curated record. The transcript has 3 exons.
GUUUCCUCUGUGUGCUCUGCAGCCCUGUCACUGAAAGUGUGCUCUGGGGACCAGCAGAAUCAGCGUCACGUGGAAUCCUAUUAUAAAUGCAGAAUCCCAGUCUCCACCCAGACCUACUGAAUCUUCCUUUUAUCAAGAUCUCCAGGUCAACAGUCUGGCACAAUGGGAUUUUCUGUUCAGAAUUUCACCAGGCUACAAUGAAGAUAUGGGCUUGCUGUGGCUGUAAUCUCAUCUGAGGUUUAACCCUGCGGCAAAAUUUUUCUCUUAGCAUCUGAUGACCAGAUAACUCAAUGGGAACAACCGGUACCAGGUGUGGACUGAGAAGUCACACAGUAAGGUGGGGGUAU